AGUAAAAAAUUUAUAAGAAUAUGAUGUUGGUUCAGAUUAAGCGCUAAAUAAGGACAUGACACAUGCGAAUCAUACGUUUAUUAUUGAUAAGAUAAUAAAUAUGUGGUGUAAACGUGAGUAAUUUUAUUAGGAAUUAAUGAACUAUAGAAUAAGCUAAAUACUUAAUAUAUUAUUAUAUAAAAAUAAUUUAUAUAAUAAAAAGGAUAUAUAUAUAAUAUAUAUUUAUCUAUAGUCAAGCCAAUAAUGGUUUAGGUAGUAGGUUUAUUAAGAGUUAAACCUAGCCAACGAUCCAUAAUCGAUAAUGAAAGUUAGAACGAUCACGUUGACUCUGAAAUAUAGUCAAUAUCUAUAAGAUACAGCAGUGAGGAAUAUUGGACAAUGAUCGAAAGAUUGAUCCAGUUACUUAUUAGGAUGAUAUAUAAAAAUAUUUUAUUUUAUUUAUAAAUAUUAAAUAUUUAUAAUAAUAAUAAUAAUAAUAUAUAUAUAUAAAUUGAUUAAAAAUAAAAUCCAUAAAUAAUUAAAAUAAUGAUAUUAAUUACCAUAUAUAUUUUUUAUAUGGAUAUAUAUAUUAAUAAUAAUAUUAAUUUUAUUAUUAUUAAUAAUAUAUUUUAAUAGUCCUGACUAAUAUUUGUACCAGCAGUCGCGGUAACACAAAGAGGGCGAGCGUUAAUCAUAAUGGUUUAAAGGAUCCGUAGAAUGAAUUAUAUAUUAUAAUUUAGAGUUAAUAAAAUAUAAUUAAAGAAUUAUAAUAGUAAAGAUGAAAUAAUAAUAAUAAUUAUAAGACUAAUAUAUGUGAAAAUAUUAAUUAAAUAUUAACUGACAUUGAGGGAUUAAAACUAGAGUAGCGAAACGGAUUCGAUACCCGUGUAGUUCUAGUAGUAAACUAUGAAUACAAUUAUUUAUAAUAUAUAUUAUAUAUAAAUAAUAAAUGAAAAUGAAAGUAUUCCACCUGAAGAGUACGUUAGCAAUAAUGAAACUCAAAACAAUAGACGGUUACAGACUUAAGCAGUGGAGCAUGUUAUUUAAUUCGAUAAUCCACGACUAACCUUACCAUAUUUUGAAUAUUAUAAUAAUUAUUAUAAUUAUUAUAUUACAGGCGUUACAUUGUUGUCUUUAGUUCGUGCUGCAAAGUUUUAGAUUAAGUUCAUAAACGAACAAAACUCCAUAUAUAUAAUUUUAAUUAUAUAUAAUUUUAUAUUAUUUAUUAAUAUAAAGAAAGGAAUUAAGACAAAUCAUAAUGAUCCUUAUAAUAUGGGUAAUAGACGUGCUAUAAUAAAAUGAUAAUAAAAUUAUAUAAAAUAUAUUUAAUUAUAUUUAAUUAAUAAUAUAAAACAUUUUAAUUUUUAAUAUAUUUUUUUAUUAUAUAUUAAUAUGAAUUAUAAUCUGAAAUUCGAUUAUAUGAAAAAAGAAUUGCUAGUAAUACGUAAAUUAGUAUGUUACGGUGAAUAUUCUAACUGUUUCGCACUAAUCACUCAUCACGCGUUGAAACAUAUUAUUAUCUUAUUAUUUAUAUAAUAUUUUUUAAUAAAUAUUAAUAAUUAUUAAUUUAUAUUUAUUUAUAUCAGAAAUAAUAUGAAUUAAUGCGAAGUUGAAAUACAGUUACCGUAGGGGAACCUGCGGUGGGCUUAUAAAUAUCUUAAAUAUUCUUACA
RNAcentral lists this non-coding RNA (1651 nucleotides) under Saccharomyces cerevisiae (brewer's yeast). Its description in RNAcentral is "15S ribosomal RNA". It matches the Rfam family "Bacterial small subunit ribosomal RNA". Lineage: Eukaryota; Fungi; Ascomycota; Saccharomycetes; Saccharomycetales; Saccharomycetaceae. The record is from RNAcentral.